Molecule: ribosomal RNA, 253 nt
Filed under: uncultured bacterium
Lineage: Bacteria
Description: partial 16S ribosomal RNA
Rfam family: Bacterial small subunit ribosomal RNA
Source: RNAcentral
UACGGAGGGGGCUAUCGUUGUUCGGAAUUACUGGACGUAAAGCGCACGUAGGCGGAUUUGUAAGUCAGGGGUGAAAUCCCGGGGCUCAACCUCGGAACUGCCUUUGAUACUGCAAAUCUCGAGUCCGGAAGAGGUGAGUGGAAGUCCUAGUGUAGAGGUGAAAUUCGUAGAUAUUAGGAAGAACACCAGUGGCGAAGGCGGCUCACUGGUCCGGUACUGACGCUGAGGUGCGAAAGCGUGGGGAGCAAACAGG